UCAAGCUAUAAAGAGCAUAGGGUGGAUGCCUUGGCACCAAGAGCCGAAGAAGGACGUGGUCAGCUGCGAUAAGCCAUGGUCAGCCGCAAGCAGGCAAUGACCCAUGGAUUUCCGAAUGCGGAAACGCGGCACGUUAACAGCGUGUCAUCAUGUCAUGAAUAAAUAGUGACAUGAGGGGAACCCGGUGAACUGAAACAUCUAAGUAGCCGGAGGAAGAGAAAGAAACAUCGAUUUCCUUAGUAGCGGCGAGCGAAAGGGAAAGAGCCCAAACCGAGGGUCUACGGACGUUCGGGGUUCGGACUUGCAAAAAUCGAAGUACUUAUAGACGAAGAGGUUUGGAACUUCCUACCAAAGAGGGUAACAGUCCCGUAGUCGAAAUGAGUACAAGAGGGCGAGAAUCCAGAGUACCACAGGACACGAGUAAUCCGGUGGGAAGACGGGGGGCCCACCCCCCAAGGCUAAAUACUACUUGGUGACCGAUAGCGUAUAGUACCGUGAGGGAAAGGUGAAAAGAACCCCGGGAGGGGAGUGAAAGAGUACCUGAAACCCUAUGUUUACAAGCAGUGGGAGCGAGAGCGACCAUGUACUUUUUGUAGAACGGGCCGGCGAGUUACUGUGUGCAGCGAGGUUAAGUUGUUAAGCAACGGAGCCGAAGGGAUACCGAGUCUGAAAAGGGCGUAAAGUUGCAUGCAGUACACCCGAAACCGGGUGACCUAUCCAUGGACAGGAUGAAGCGACGGUAAGACGUCGUGGAGGUCCGAACCACACGUACGUGAAAAGUGCGGGGAUGAGCUGUGGAUAGCGGAGAAAUUCCAAUCGAACUCGGAGAUAGCUGGUUCUCCCCGAAAUAGCUUUAGGGCUAGCCUCGAUUUAGAUUACCGGGGGUAGAGCACUGAAUGGGCUAGGGGGCCACAAAGCUUACCGAACCCUAUCAAACUUCGAAUACCGGAUAAUUGAUGAUCGGGAGUCAGACAGUGUGAGAUAAGUUUCAUUGUCGAAAGGGAAACAGCCCAGAUCUACGACUAAGGUCCCAAAGUUCAAGUUAAGUGGAAAAGGAUGUGCAAUUGCGUAGACAACCAGGAUGUUGGCUUAGUAGCAGCCAUUCAUUCAAAGAGUGCGUAAUAGCUCACUGGUCGAGUGAUUGUGCGCCGAAAAUGUAACGGGGCUAAACUUGACACCGAAGUCUAGGCAGAAGGAAACUUCUGGGUAGGGGAGCAACGUGUACGGGCAGAAGCAGAAGCGGAAGCGACUGUGGACUGUACAGGAGAGAGAAUGCCGGCAUGAGUAGCGAGAGCAAAGUGAGAAUCUUUGCCGUCGAAAGCCUAAGGUUUCCUGAGGAAGGCUCGUCCUCUCAGGGUAAGUCGGGACCUAAGCCGAGGACAAUAGUCGUAGGCGAUGGACAAUCGGUUAAUAUUCCGAUACCGCCGAGCAACCGGAUGCAGUGACACAGAAGGAUAGGCAGAGCGUGGCGAUGGUAGACCACGUCCAAGCAGUGAGGCUGUUGUGUAGUGAAGUACGCACAACGUAAGGCUGGGCUGUGAUGGGGAACGAUUACGAUCGGUAAGCUGCUGAAUUCACGCUGGCGAGAAAAGCUGCUACGAAGCGAAGGCGCCCGUACCGCAAACCGACACAGGUAGGCGAGGAGAGAAUCCUAAGACGAGCGGGAGAACCCUUGUUAAGGAACUCGGCAAAAUGACUCCGUAACUUAGGGAGAAGGAGUGCCCAGGAAUGGGCCGCAGAGAAUAGACCCAAGCGACUGUUUACCAAAAACACAGGUCUGUGCGAAGUAGAGAUACGACGUAUACGGGCUGACACCUGCCCAGUGCCGGAAGGUUAAGGGGAAAUGUUAGGGCAACCGAAGCAUGGAACUUAAGCCCCGGUGAACGGCGGCCGUAACUAUAACGGUCCUAAGGUAGCGAAAUUCCUUGUCGGGUAAGUUCCGACCCGCACGAAUGGUGUAACGAUUUGGGUACUGUCUCAACAAGGGACCCGGCGAAAUUGUAGUAUGUGUGAAGAUGCACAUUACCCGCGAUAGGACGGAAAGACCCCGUAGAGCUUUACUGUAGUUUAACAUUGGAUUUCGGUAACAUAUGUACAGGAUAGGUGGGAGGCGAAGAACCAGGGACGCCAGUUUCUGGGGAGCCGACCUUGGGAUACCACUCUUGUGUUAUUGGAGUUCUAACGAAUUGCCGUGAACCGGGAUUCGGACAGUGUUAGAUGGGCAGUUUGACUGGGGCGGUCGCCUCCGAAAGAGUAACGGAGGCGUCCAAAGGUUCCCUUUGCCCCAUGCAGUAACUCUGCCUGUAACGUUUGUCAUUGUAAUGAUCGGGAUCGGUGGCAUCGAACGUCUCUUUUACGUACGAAGGCACGGCACGCAGUCCAUUGUAACCGCCCGAACCCGCGUUGUAGAUCGGUUUGCAGGCCCAGUGCUGGGUUUUGGCAUAGAUGCAGUGGAAAAUGGGCGAUCCCGUCGUUUCAUCAUACGGCACCGCAAAAAUGAUUUCGGGCGACGUUUCGCUUUGCAGACUGAAAAUAUUGGAAAAGCUGUCGUCGAGCUGGUAUUUCGCAGACCCGAUUAUCUCGUUGCAAAGGAUGAGCGUACUGUCGCGCUUGGCGGCAUAUUCGCUGCCGAGCCACGAUUCGGCAUUCAGAUAUACCUU
This 2660-nucleotide ribosomal RNA is filed under the name human gut metagenome. Its description in RNAcentral is "bacterial LSU rRNA". It matches the Rfam family "Bacterial large subunit ribosomal RNA", at positions 3 to 2426 of the family's 2925-position model. The record is from RNAcentral.